GCAAGUCGAGCGCACCCCUUCGGGGGCGAGCGGCGGACGGGUUAGUAACGCGUGGGAACGUACCCUUCUCUAAGGAAUAGCCUCUGGAAACGGAGAGUAAUACCUUAUACGCCCUUCGGGGGAAAGAUUUAUCGGAGAAGGAUCGGCCCGCGUUAGAUUAGAUAGUUGGUGGGGUAAUGGCCUACCAAGUCUACGAUGGGUAGCUGGUCUGAGAGGAUGAUC
Molecule: ribosomal RNA, 222 nt
Filed under: uncultured bacterium
Lineage: Bacteria
Description: partial 16S ribosomal RNA
Rfam family: Bacterial small subunit ribosomal RNA
Source: RNAcentral